RNAcentral lists this ribosomal RNA (477 nucleotides) under Triticum aestivum (bread wheat). Its description in RNAcentral is "partial small subunit ribosomal RNA". Lineage: Eukaryota; Viridiplantae; Streptophyta; Magnoliopsida; Poales; Poaceae. The record is from RNAcentral.
AUGGCAACUGAAGCAGUUGUCAACUGUAGGAGGGAGAAUGGCCAGAGCCAAUGUCCACGACAAGCAAUAUAUGGACCAGCCUCCGGCGGCGGAGGUAGGGCUCAGAUCAGAUCCUCAUUGAUGGGCAGCCACCACAAAGGGAGAUCGACAAGAUCCCACACCAUUGCCACGCCUUUGACUGAGGCAGGCUCCAACAACUACGCAAAUCAAAAGCACCUUCAGGCAGAUCUUCCGGCCAUCAAGCUUGUAGACAGUGGAGAAGUCACAGAAGGGACUAUGUUAACAUGCUUGAGGCGAGCCCUUUCUCAACACUCCGCUCUGCAAGCACAUGAUGGGCAUUGGGCUUGCGAUUUCAGUGGAAUUAUGUUCAUUAUGCCUAUAUUGAAUGAAGAUGGUGGUUGGGGCACACAAGUUUCGACGCCGAGCACCAUGCUUGGAACAUGCUUAAACUAUGUUUACCUUGAGACUUCUCAAUGA